RNAcentral lists this ribosomal RNA (308 nucleotides) under uncultured eukaryote. Its description in RNAcentral is "partial 18S ribosomal RNA". It matches the Rfam family "Eukaryotic small subunit ribosomal RNA", at positions 1470 to 1796 of the family's 1831-position model. The record is from RNAcentral.
CCCUUAGAUGUGCUGGGCCGCACGCGGGAUACAAUGACCCGUUCAGAAAGUACUACCUGACCCGGAAGGGAGUGGGUAAUCUUUUUAAUGCGGGUCGUGCUAGGGAUCGAUCUUUGCAAUUAUAGAUCUUGAACGAGGAAUACCUAGUAAGUGCAAGUCAUCAGCUUGUACUGAUUACGUCCCUGGUGUUUGUACUCACCGCCCGUCGCUCCUACCAAUUUCGAAUGAUCCGGUGAACCUUUUGGAUUGGGCGUAAGCUCGAGAAGUUAAGUAAACCUUAUCAUUUAGAGGAAGGAGAAGUCGUAACA